Molecule: RNA transcript, 3049 nt
Organism: Xenia sp. Carnegie-2017
Lineage: Eukaryota; Metazoa; Cnidaria; Anthozoa; Malacalcyonacea; Xeniidae
Exons: 6
Source: RefSeq, a predicted model, not a curated record
UGCAAGAAUAUCACUUCACCAAAGCCAGUAACGAUUCCGUAGUCGAGAACUUUCACAAAAUGGAACAUAAAAAGGGAUAUUUCAACAACCCUUACUCUGGAAUAGAGAAAUGCCCCACAGACGAAGAUGGAUGCAAAGCCUACUUGCCAUUACAAAAAGAAGCGCAAUCUGAAUGCAUGAAAGGAUGUUUUCCUCCUCUCCUAAUAACAAAUGAUCAUGAGAAAGAAAAUCAUGCUCUUCAAACAGAUUAUAUCGUUGGAGCUUCACUCCUCCUGACAGUUGUCUUGAUGAUCUUCUUAAUAUUAGCCUCCAGACGCUGGAGAACACGUUCACAACAAGACGAAGAGAAUAAUGUUCAUCACGGUAAUGUACAACAUACAGACGAUCAUCACGGUAAUGUACAACAUACAGACGAUCAUCACGGUAAUGUACAACAUACAGAGACGAUCAUCACGGUAAUGUACAACAUACAGACGAUCAUCAUGGAAAUGUACAACACACAGACGAUCAUCAUGUUGGUGAUGUACAACACACAGACGAUCAUGUUGGUGAUGUACAACAUACAGACGAUCAUGGUGGGAAUGUGCCCCGAGAUUUGAAUAAAGGAGAUCAUGAUGGGGAUGAAAUCUUUAGAGUUCAGAGAUAAACGAUUAACCAUUUCAAUUUGUCACAAAUGUUACGUUGUAUUAAAAUUUCGUUUCUUUAUUGUAGUAAUAAGAAAUGUGUAUGUAAUAUGAGCUGAAAUGUUUUUCAGUUGGCGGGUUUUCCCUUGUCUUUGGGUCUUUCCCUUUAAAUAAAUUGACAUUUCAUUGACUAUUCGAGGUGUAUAACAGUCAUUCGUUCAUAGCGUUAUUAAAGACUGCUGAGAAGUUUCUUUUCAAAUUCAAACAAUGGUCACAACAUGUAAGCUUGGCUAUUUUAUGAACAAGGAAACAGGCUGCGAAGAUUGUCCCUUAAAGGAUGAUGGCUGUGAAAUUUUUAAAACAUUGCAAGAGGAUAUAUAUUCGGAAUGUAAAGAGAGUUGUUUUCCAAAUACUCAACCAUCAACAAAUAAUGAGAAUAUAUAUAUUGUUCUGUAUUCUUGUGUACCUGCAUUUCUUAUACUCAUUGGUGUAUUGAUAUUUGUUGUAAUACGGAAACGAAUGCAUCACAGUAGAAAAGAUGAUGAAGAAAAUGGUGAGGUAGAUAUACCUAACCCACAAGACAACAGAAGAGAUGUACCAUUGGACCUCAAUAAGUUUAGCGAUGAAGAGAGUUACAUAGAACAACUGCCUUCUUGUGAUCAACUAUGAGCUGUAUAGCAGAAUAACAUAUGAACAUGAAAAAUGUAGUUAUUUUUUUGUGAUUUUCGUCCACGUACUUUUAGUGCUUUAAUAAACGGUUCACCUGGAAUGAAACCCAUUUUCUACAUUAUCAACCUUCACUUAAUUAUUUUUAAUAUUAGACACUAACCUAUAUCAAUACCAACCACUUGGUCUACUUCGUGACCUGGUAACAUCUGCAGUAAAUCUUCUAUCCAGUGGAUAUAGUUCAACCUUAAAGGGACAGUAGGAAUGAGUCUGUUUAAUGGCAACUUUACGUUUAAUCCAAAGUCCUCAUGUAGCAAGGUCAUUGUUAAUUGACGCAAUGUUUCAGCAUUCUUGAAAUUAACAGUGAAACCACUUGAUGUAGGAAUCAAAUGUUUACGAAAUUCAGGGUACAUUUCGCCAAGUUUUUCAAAGUUUGCAGGUGAAUUCUUAUAUUUAUUUCGAGCAUGCAUAUUGACAUAUUUUAUGGUAUGUUGUAAAAUACAGCAUCAUCCAAUAUACGUCAUGUAAGAUGUUUUUGAAAUUAAAUGUGAUGACGUCACUAUAUUACCACUUGCCAGCGACCGUUCCGCGCAAAUUGUUUUGCGAGUGGUUUCCAGGCUUAAGUUGUCUCACUGUCAAAACUAUUUGGUCUACACAUUUUAUGGAGUAUGUUUGACACGCAAAACGUGACGUUUGAGUCGGAAAACAACGUACAAAAUAGUUUGUACCAGUCGCUGACAAAUGGUAAUAACCAAUGAGAGUAUAGCCCAUAUAAAAAAUCGUGCAGCUUUUUAAAAUUGCAAUUGUCAGUUCUUCUGGUUCGAUUAGUUCACGGCAAAGAUGAGUAUUUACAAUCAUUAUUUCAAUCAGUCAUUGUUCUCUGUUGUACUUCUAACCAAUGAUAAACCCUGUCUUAAUAAUAAAGAUUGCUGUUGCGAACAAUAAGGCGAACAAUAAAGUAUUUGCAUUAAAUUUGUUACAAGGAACUUUUAACAGGAGAGAAAAUGUUUAAAACGCGAUUUCUUUUAUGUUUUCUUUUUGCUCAAAGUUUAUCGUGUCCAAAUGGACAAUUUAAGACUGCUUUUGUCGAAGAGUGCGUUGACUGUCCAAUUAACGCCAAACUUACUUGUGAUAACGAAGGAUUGAAUAAAGAAAAUUGUCGGGAAAGUUGUGUUUCACAAUCAGCAUCUGAUGACAGGAGUAAAACAACUAUAAAGGACAGCACAAUUGACAAACUACCAAUUGUUGUUGGUGUUGGCGUGAGCAUCCUCGCAGUACUUAUCGUUUGUAUUAUUUUCGUUUGUUAUUAUUGGAUUUUGAGAAACGAUCAUCAGCCUAUACAGGAAUGUACGCCACGUCAAGAAAAUGUGAGACUAUCUGAAGAUGGUCAAGCAAUAGAUGCUGUUUAAUUUUGAGGAAGUUAAAAGUCUUCAAUGAAGUCAUUGUCAACUCAAUAAGUCAUUGACUUGAUGAAAAUAGUUUACACACAGAUAAAAGACGAUUGUAUAAUCUUUUACACAUUAUCACCUCUUUUACUUACACUAAUUUUGGCAUUUUCAAAAAAAAUCCUUUAAAAAAAUGUACAAUUUUUUAAUGAAGAACUUGUGCGCAUUAUAGACAUAUGAACUUCUUUCAAUGAAGAUAUAAAUAUUUUGUAGAGUGAUAGUGAAUUUCUGUGUAGUAGUAGUUACAUGAAGUAGCAUAUAAAUAAAAAAUAUACAAAUAAUGUUCUACUUUUGUGAAUAAAACUGCAACUAAAA